RNAcentral lists this ribosomal RNA (253 nucleotides) under uncultured bacterium. RNAcentral's name for it is "partial 16S ribosomal RNA". It matches the Rfam family "Bacterial small subunit ribosomal RNA", at positions 524 to 776 of the family's 1533-position model. The record is from RNAcentral.
UACGUAGGGGGCGAGCGUUGUCCGGAUUUAUUGGGCGUAAAGAGCGUGUAGGCGGCCUGAAAGGUCAGCUGUGAAAACUCGAGGCUCAACCUCGAGACGUCGGUUGAAACCAUCUGGCUAGAGUCCGGAAGAGGAGUGUGGAAUUCCCGGUGUAGCGGUGAAAUGCGCAGAUAUCGGGAAGAACACCCGUGGCGAAGGCGGCACUCUGGGACGGUACUGACGCUGAGACGCGAAAGCGUGGGGAGCGAACAGG